UGUUACUGUUCGGAAGAUGUUCUUGAUUGAAGAGGAGAGGAAUAUAAACAUAUAAAAGGAUGAUGAAUGAAAAAAAACCCAUCAUAAAAGUCCUCAUAAUAUUCAGAAUGUACAUCCUACGUUUGGCAAAUAUACAUGUGUGUAUUUAGAGCCAGAAAAAGUACUGGCCCAAAGCUGCAGCAGGAAAAUACUGGCCCGAGCAUCCUUUUCAAGGGCAGUGGAAGCCAAACUAGACACGGUAUGGGAAUUUCAUGCCUGGAACUCGCAAUGCCUUUUUCUUUUUCAAGAAGGAGCUACAGUCCCACCCUGCCCCAGUUUGGACUGCAGCUACGGCACAGGAGGAGAGGUAAACCUCCAUAAGAAGAUAUUGUGGGCCUGCUGUCUACAAGACUAGGAAGCUAAGGAGAGACACGUUGAAGGGAAGAACUCCUCAGUGACAGCAGCACCCUUUCUCACUUCUACUCACUCACUCAUCUAGUCAUUGUACUGAUUUGCUGCCACUGCUACCCAUAAUUCAUUACCAUCUUGUAUCUUGUGCCUCUCCCUGGGCAACCAGGCAGCCAUUCUGUAUACACAGAUGCAAAAACUACCCAUCUGCAAUGCCAAGCAGGCUACAAGCGAGGCCCACACAGCAAUUAUUAGUGGGGACACAGAUGGUCCAGUGUGGGUGGUCACUUUCCCCACCUAGGAGAUCUCCAUCUUCUCAAAGUGCAUGAUGGACGACAAUGCAACUGUGGCAACUUUGCCCACUGUGAAGAUUCAGUGAUGGGGAAAGCUGUACAUCAGAGCUGCUCAACUUCAGCCCCUCCUGCAGAUGUUGGCUAUUGGCCACUGUGGCUGGGGCUUAUGGGAGUUGUCCAAAAACACCUGGAAGACCAAAGUUGAGCAGGCCUGCUGUACAUUCUACUUUCUCAGACCCAGGGGCUCUGCAGGAUCAGAAAUGUUGGCAGCCCUGUUCUCUGUGAUACUUUCAGACCUCAUACUACAGCUAAUGCUGCUCAAUAAAAGCUAUACAUUUCUUGCUUUCUGGCUCCUGCAAUACAAAGCACCGGGGAGGAUU
This is a long non-coding RNA of Hemicordylus capensis (graceful crag lizard), 1060 nucleotides long. RefSeq lists it as uncharacterized. The record is from RefSeq and is a predicted model, not a curated record. The transcript is spliced from 3 exons. NCBI's taxonomy places the organism in Eukaryota, Metazoa, Chordata, Lepidosauria, Squamata, Cordylidae.